Molecule: ribosomal RNA, 755 nt
Filed under: Methanosaeta sp. enrichment culture
Lineage: Archaea; Methanobacteriati; Methanobacteriota; Methanomicrobia; Methanotrichales; Methanotrichaceae
Description: bacterial SSU rRNA
Rfam family: Archaeal small subunit ribosomal RNA
Source: RNAcentral
GGACAACCUGCCCUGAGGACUGGAAUAAUCCCGGGAAACUGGGGGUAAUUCCAGAUAUGUCAGAACUCCUGGAAUGGGUUCUGGCAGAAAUGCUCCGGCGCCUCAGGAUGGGUCUGCGGCCUAUCAGGGUAGUAGUGGGUGUAACGUACCCACUAGCCUACGACGGGUACGGGUUGUGAGAGCAAGAGCCCGGAGAUGGAUUCUGAGACAUGAAUCCAGGCCCUACGGGGUGCAGCAGGCGCGAAAACUUUACAAUGCGGGCAACCGCGAUAAGGGGACCUCGAGUGCUGGGUUACAAACCUGGCUGUUGGGCUGCCUAAAAAGCAGUCUAUAGCAAGGGCCGGGCAAGACCGGUGCCAGCCGCCGCGGUAACACCGGCGGCUCGAGUGGUAACCGCUAUUAUUGGGUCUAAAGGGUCUGUAGCCGGCCGACUAAGUCUCUUGGGAAAUCUGGCAUCUCAAGUGUCAGGCUGCCAGGGGAUACUAGUCGGCUUGGGACCGGGAGAGGUGAGAGGUACCUCGGGGGUAGGGGUGAAAUCUUGUAAUCCUCGAGGGACCACCAGUGGCGAAGGCGUCUCACCAGAACGGAUCCGACGGCAAGGGACGAAAGCUAGGGGCACGAACCGGAUUAGAUACCCGGGUAGUCCUAGCCGUAAACGAUACUCGCUAGGUGUCGGCCACGGUGCGACCGUGGUCGGUGCCGUAGGGAAGCCGUGAAGCGAGCCACCUGGGAAGUACGGCCGCAAGGCUGAAACU